Molecule: ribosomal RNA, 393 nt
Filed under: uncultured bacterium
Lineage: Bacteria
Description: partial 16S ribosomal RNA
Rfam family: Bacterial small subunit ribosomal RNA
Source: RNAcentral
CUACGGAGGAUGCGAGCGUUAUCCGGAUUUAUUGGGUUUAAAGGGUGCGUAGGCUGUGCGUUAAGUCAGGGGUGAAAUGCCGUCGCUCAACGACGGAGCUGCCCUUGAUACUGGCGUGCUGGACUACGGAUGCCGUUGGAGGAAUGAGUGGCGGAGCGGUGAAAUGCUUAGAUAUCACUCAGAACACCGAUUGCGAAGGCAUCUGACGAAUCCGUCACUGACGCUGAGGCACGAAAGCGUGGGGAUAGAACAGGAUUAGAUACCCUGGUAUUCCACGCCGUAAACGAUGAUGACUAACCGUCGGCGAUAGACAGCCGGUGGCCAAGCGAAAGCGAUAAGUCAUCCACCUGGGGAGUACGUCGGCAACGAUGAAACUCAAAUGAAUUGACGGGG